RNAcentral lists this ribosomal RNA (497 nucleotides) under uncultured bacterium. RNAcentral's name for it is "partial 16S ribosomal RNA". It matches the Rfam family "Bacterial small subunit ribosomal RNA", at positions 28 to 507 of the family's 1533-position model. The record is from RNAcentral.
GAUGAACGCUGGCGGCGUGCCUAAUACAUGCAAGUCGAGCGAACAGACGAGGAGCUUGCUCCUCUGACGUUAGCGGCGGACGGGUGAGUAACACGUGGAUAACCUACCUAUAAGACUGGGAUAACUUCGGGAAACCGGAGCUAAUACCGGAUAAUAUAUUGAACCGCAUGGUUCAAUAGUGAAAGACGGUUUUGCUGUCACUUAUAGAUGGAUCCGCGCCGCAUUAGCUAGUUGGUAAGGUAACGGCUUACCAAGGCAACGAUGCGUAGCCGACCUGAGAGGGUGAUCGGCCACACUGGAACUGAGACACGGUCCAGACUCCUACGGGAGGCACCAGUAGGGAAUCUUCCGCACUGGGCGAAAGCCUGACGGAGCAACGCCACGUGAGUGAUGAAGGUCUUCGGAUCGUAAAACUCUGUUAUUAGGGAAGAACAAAUGUGUAAGUAACUAUGCACGUCUUGACGGUACCUAAUCAGAAAGCCACGGCUAACUACGUG